AGACCCGAAACCCGGUGAUCUAGCCAUGGGCAGGUUGAAGGUUGGGUAACACUAACUGGAGGACCGAACCGACUAAUGUUGAAAAAUUAGCGGAUGACCUGUGGCUGGGGGUGAAAGGCCAAUCAAACCGGGAGAUAGCUGGUUCUCCCCGAAAGCUAUUUAGGUAGCGCCUCGUGAAUUCAUCUCCGGGGGUAGAGCACUGUUUCGGCUAGGGGGCCAUCCCGGCUUACCAACCCGAUGCAAACUGCGAAUACCGGAGAAUGUUAUCACGGGAGACACACGGCGGGUGCUAACGUCCGUCGUGAAGAGGGAAACAACCCAGACCGCCAGCUAAGGUCCCAAAGUCAUGGUUAAGUGGGAAACGAUGUGGGAAGGCCCAGACAGCCAGGAUGUUGGCUUAGAAGCAGCCAUCAUUUAAAGAAAGCGUAAUAGCUCACUGGUCGAGUCGGCCUGCGCGGAAGAUGUAACGGGGCUAAACCAUGCACCGAAGCUGCGGCAGCGAACGUAUCACUUAAAGCGAUUCAGCGGGUUACGAUUGACGGAGCGAAGCGACGUCAAAGCGUAUACAAAGUCGAGUCGGUUUAAGGAUACGUUCGUUGGGUAGGGGAGCGUUCUGUAAGCCUGUGAAGGUGGCCUGUGAGGGUUGCUGGAGGUAUCAGAAGUGCGAAUGCUGACAUAAGUAACGAUAAAGCGGGUGAAAAGCCCGCUCGCCGGAAGACCAAGGGUUCCUGUCCAACGUUAAUCGGGGCAGGGUGAGUCGACCCCUAAGGCGAGGCCGAAAGGCGUAGUCGAUGGGAAACAGGUUAAUAUUCCUGUACUUGGUGUUACUGCGAAGGGGGGACGGAGAAGGCUAUGUUGGCCGGGCGA
Molecule: ribosomal RNA, 867 nt
Filed under: Salmonella enterica subsp. enterica serovar Newport
Lineage: Bacteria; Pseudomonadati; Pseudomonadota; Gammaproteobacteria; Enterobacterales; Enterobacteriaceae
Description: partial 23S ribosomal RNA
Rfam family: Bacterial large subunit ribosomal RNA
Source: RNAcentral